This 1981-nucleotide ribosomal RNA is filed under the name human metagenome. RNAcentral's name for it is "bacterial LSU rRNA". It matches the Rfam family "Bacterial large subunit ribosomal RNA", at positions 1101 to 2925 of the family's 2925-position model. The record is from RNAcentral.
UUGGCUUAGAAGCAGCCAUCCUUGAAAGAGUGCGUAAUAGCUCACUGGUCAAGUGAUCGUGCGCCGACAAUGUAGCGGGGCUCAAGCACACCGCCGAAGCUGCGGAUCCUCAACAAUACCCUGUCAAGUUUUUUUGGCCAGGGGUUGGGGGUGGUAGGGGAGCGUUGUGUACUGGGUGAAGCGGCUAAGUGAUUAUGUCGUGGACGGUACGCAAGUGAGAAUGCAGGCAUGAGUAGCGAUACUAGGGUGAGAAACCCUAGCGCCGAAUGACCAAGGGUUCCAGGGCUAGGCUAGUCCGCCCUGGGUGAGUCGGGUCCUAAGGCGAGGCCGACAGGCGUAGUCGAUGGGUAACCGGUUGAUAUUCCGGUACCGGCUGGUGACCGUCAAGUGUUGACUGAAAGGUACUAACCCACGCCAGGAACAUGAUUGAAUGCCUUUGGGUGUUUGGUUGUGGUUUUGGUUUGGGGACAGGCUUUCUUGGUAGGCAAGCGUGUGGAGUGACGCACAGUGGAAGCCUUCGCGAGGUGAUGGAUACCCUCGUUUAACCGUGUAGCUUACUGCCUAGGUAAAUCCGGGUGGUUUUAUGUGAGGCGGGAUGAUGACCAUCUUUUGGGUGGGAAGUAGGGGUGAUCCUGUGGUGCCGAGAAAAGCUUCGACGCGAGGUGGCUGGCCGCCCGUACCCUAAACCGACACAGGUGGUCGGGCAGAGUAUGCCUAGGCGCACGAGAUAAUCAUGGUUAAGGAACUCGGCAAAAUGCCCCCGUAACUUCGGGAGAAGGGGGGCCUGAUACUUGAUGAAACCGCUUUUGUGGCUUUCUAGGGUUGAGGGUCGCAGAGACCAGGGAGAAGCGACUGUUUACUAAAAACACAGGUGCGUGCGAAGCCGUAAGGCGAUGUAUACGUACUGACGCCUGCCCGGUGCUGGAAGGUUAAGAGGAACUGUCAGCCCUUUUUUGGGUGAAGCGGUGAAUUUAAGCCCCAGUAAACGGCGGUGGUAACUAUAACCAUCCUAAGGUAGCGAAAUUCCUUGUCGGGUAAGUUCCGACCUGCACGAAUGGCGUAACGACUUCUCCGCUGUCUCAACCGCGAACUCGGUGAAAUUGCAGUACGAGUAAAGAUGCUCGUUUCGCGCAGAAGGACGGAAAGACCCCGGGACCUUUACUAUAGCUUGGUAUUGGUGUUCGCUUGGACUUGUGUAGGAUAGGUGGGAGACUGUGAAGGCGCCGCGCCAGCGGUGGUGGAGUCGUCGUUGAAAUACCAUUCUGGUUCAAGCGGUCACCUCAACCUAGACCCGUGAUCCGGGUUGGGGACAGUGCCUGGUGGGUAGUUUAACUGGGGCGGUUGCCUCCUAAAAUGUAACGGAGGCGCUCAAAGGUUCCCUCAGCCUGGUUGGUAAUCAGGUGGCGAGUGCAAGUGUACAAGGGAGCUUGACUGUGAGACCGACGGGUCGAGCAGGUGCGAAAGCAGGAACUAGUGAUCCGGCCAUGGCACGUGGGUGCGUGGUCGCUCAACGGAUAAAAGGUACCCCGGGGAUAACAGGCUGAUCUUGCCCAAGAGUCCAUAUCGACGGCAUGGUUUGGCACCUCGAUGUCGGCUCGUCGCAUCCUGGGGCUGGAGCAGGUCCCAAGGGUUGGGCUGUUCGCCCAUUAAAGCGGUACGCGAGCUGGGUUUAGAACGUCGUGAGACAGUUCGGUCCCUAUCCUCUGCGCGCGUUGGAAACUUGAGAAGGGCUGUCCCUAGUACGAGAGGACCGGGACGGACGAACCUCUGGUGUGCCAGUUAUCCUGCCAGGGGUAUGGCUGGUUUGCUACGUUCGGGAUGGGUAACCGCUGAAAGCAUCUAAGCGGGAAACUAGCUUCGAGAUUAGGUUUCCGUCCCAUAUGGGGGGAGGUUCCCGGUAGAUUACCGGGUUGAUAGGCUAGGAGUGUAGACAUUGUAAGGUGACCAGCUUACUAGUACUAAUUGACCGAUUACUAACAAU